This 703-nucleotide ribosomal RNA is filed under the name uncultured Hydrogenophaga sp. Its description in RNAcentral is "bacterial SSU rRNA". It matches the Rfam family "Bacterial small subunit ribosomal RNA", at positions 94 to 793 of the family's 1533-position model. Lineage: Bacteria; Pseudomonadati; Pseudomonadota; Betaproteobacteria; Burkholderiales; Comamonadaceae. The record is from RNAcentral.
AGUGGCGAACGGGUGAGUAAUGCAUCGGAACGUGCCCAGUCGUGGGGGAUAACGCAGCGAAAGCUGUGCUAAUACCGCAUACGAUCUAUGGAUGAAAGCGGGGGACCUUCGGGCCUCGCGCGAUUGGAGCGGCCGAUGUUAGAUUAGGUAGUUGGUGGGGUAAAGGCUCACCAAGCCGACGAUCUAUAGCUGGUCUGAGAGGACGACCAGCCACACUGGAACUGAGACACGGUCCAGACUCCUACGGGAGGCAGCAGUGGGGAAUUUUGGACAAUGGGCGAAAGCCUGAUCCAGCAAUACCGCGUGCAGGAAGAAGGCCUUCGGGUUGUAAACUGCUUUUGUACGGAACGAAACGGCGCGCUCUAAUAAAGUGCGCUAAUGACGGUACAGUAAGAAUAAGCACCGGCUAACUACGUGCCAGCAGCCGCGGUAAUACGUAGGGUGCAAGCGUUAAUCGGAAUUACUGGGCGUAAAGCGUGCGCAGGCGGUUUUGUAAGACAGGCGUGAAAUCCCCGGGCUUAACCUGGGAAUUGCGCUUGUGACUGCAAGGCUAGAGUACGGUAGAGGGGGGUAGAAUUCCGCGUGUAGCAGUGAAAUGCGUAGAUAUGCGGAGGAACACCGAUGGCGAAGGCAGCCCCCUGGACCUGUACUGACGCUCAUGCACGAAAGCGUGGGGAGCAAACAGGAUUAGAUACCCUGGUAG